CACGUAGGCGGGUCGUUAAGUCAGAGGUGAAAGCCUGGAGCUCAACUCCAGAACUGCCUUUGAUACUGGCGACCUCGAGUUCGAGAGAGGUUGGUGGAACUCCGAGUGUGAGGUGAAAUUCGUAGAUAUUCGGAAGAACACCAGUGGCGAAGGCGGCCAACUGGCUCGAUACUGACGCUGAGGUGCGAAAGCGUGGGGAGCAAACA
Molecule: ribosomal RNA, 206 nt
Filed under: uncultured bacterium
Lineage: Bacteria
Description: partial 16S ribosomal RNA
Rfam family: Bacterial small subunit ribosomal RNA
Source: RNAcentral